This is a long non-coding RNA of Platichthys flesus (European flounder), 1903 nucleotides long. RefSeq lists it as uncharacterized. Lineage: Eukaryota; Metazoa; Chordata; Actinopteri; Pleuronectiformes; Pleuronectidae. The transcript is spliced from 2 exons. The record is from RefSeq and is a predicted model, not a curated record.
GGGCCGCCUCUGAAGGGAUUCACUGAGUCGAGCAGCUUUCUUCUUCUCUUCUGUUCAGGGAGGAUGGACGGAGAAUGUCUAAAUGAAUGUUUUUGCUACAGCUGCAGAGGAGAUUGUGAAUAGUGGAUUCUACUACUCCCGCUGGCCAGACUCUCUCUCCUGUAGCUGUAUGUUGAGGAUCUCAAAAGGACUCUACAAUGUGAAAUUCACCUGCGGUGAUGAGUCGGUCAGUGAUCUCACUCUUGCUUCUAUCUUUGGAGUCCCUUCCCUAUUGUCCAUUCCCUGACACAUGUCUUGGAUGUUAGCAGUGGUUUAGUGACCCUAGUUUUUCAGAGUAGAAGAAAGUCGACCUAACUUUCCUAAUGACAACGUUUUUUUCUUUCUUUCUGUUUCCAUUUCCCGAGGCAAAAGAAAUGUGGGACACCAACAUCUCCAGAGAGAGAAGGAGAGGAGAAGGAGAAGAGUAGCAGGGAACCGCAGAGUGACAUCAGGAGAUGGAGCUGUGUCGGGCAGAGUGAGCAGAGACGUUCCACAGGCAACUUCUCUCCCUUAUGAGCCAGCAGGUUUUGGCCAGGAAGCUGGGACAUCCUGCACCACAGCUGUGUGCGUAAAAUAUGCUGUUUGAUCAUUUGAUCAUUUUUUUUAAGAACUCAAUAUUGUUCUGACCAAGAGUUUAAUUUAGCCGAAUUGAAAGUUCCUUUUUUAAAUUUAUAAAACGGUCACAGACAAACUGUGCUCAAAAACGGCAUCCAACCCCAAGGCUUCCCCUUUGCUUUUCGCAAGAACUAAGCAAGUUAUUUAUAAACUGCAUUUCCUGUUCACAGCUAGAGAACCAUUUAAAUAUUAGGGACAGCGAGGGACAGAACUCACUCUCGAUUAGCGAUGGUUUCAAAUCAGCCGCACUGUGUGAGUAAAUGACAAAGAGCAUUAUUAGAAGAGGGCCUCUGCAAAGGCACCACUUCUGCAGGGAAUUCUGGAAACAGCCUUUAAUUUCACCCACAUAUGGCAUAUGUGCUCAGUUCCCUUUUCUAACCCCAUGACAGAUACAAUAUUCUGGCUGCCCAGUUGUGUUUUUAUGUGUGUAAACACUAUUUGGGCUGUUUAUUAUAGUUGACCUUUUACCUAGACUUAGAAUUUUUCUAUGUUUCAUAUAAAGUUAUCACAUGAGGGAGAGUAUUCUGAGGGAUUCUUUUAAAAAUUCUGUUUAGUUAUUGCCAAGAAACAAGAAACAACAAAGAGAUCAUAUUAUAACGCAACAAGUGUAUUGAAAUGAACAAAACUAUGCCUCCCUGGCAAUAGCCUCAUGUGAAGUUGGAGCUACACACUCUCAAGGGCCCCUCCCUGACUCAGCUCUUAGGGCGAUUCAACAUUUCCUGUUUACAAGCCGAUGGGGAACACACAUUACAAACCCCUUAUCGCACUACGAGCACUGAGAGCACUGCUGCUGCCCGACACCAGACUGCUCCCUAAGGAGAGCCCCGUCAGCUGAGGAAAUGUGAUUCUCUUCGUCCAGCCUGGUCAACCAUGCUCAAGCCUGGUGAGCCCACAUAGAGCCAAACGCCUGAUGUUUUGACCUCUUCAUUGACCUUCAGUCAGGGGGAGUUACGAAAGAAAAUGUGACCAGCUUUCAAAUUUUUGUUCAGUAUUUGAUGUGAGUCCAUAGACUGUAAGAUGGACGCGCAGCAGCGAUAUGGGGAUGAAUCCAUUGUAUCAUGUUCCAAUAAUAAGAACUUCAUAAUUUUUAAAGAUAAUUUUUUGUUUGGUCCAUGAACCGUCUAUGAACAUGGAGGAGGCAGGAUUUAUGACUUAUUCUGCAGAAUGAAGUUCCCUAAUUAUCAUGUUGAACCUUUAUCCCACAAUAAAAUGCUGUGUGGAUGUCUGUUGAUUAAAGAAGUUAAGCACA